UACGUAGGGUGCAAGCGUUAAUCGGAAUUACUGGGCGUAAAGCGUGCGCAGGCGGUUUUGCAAGUCAGAUGUGAAAUCCCCGGGCUUAACCUGGGAACUGCGUUUGAAACUAUGGAGCUAGAGUGUGGCAGAGGGGGGUGGAAUUCCACGUGUAGCAGUGAAAUGCGUAGAGAUGUGGAGGAAUACCGAUGGCGAAGGCAGCCCCCUGGGAUGACACUGACGCCCAUGCACGAAAGCGUGGGGAGCAAACAGG
This 253-nucleotide ribosomal RNA is filed under the name uncultured bacterium. RNAcentral's name for it is "partial 16S ribosomal RNA". It matches the Rfam family "Bacterial small subunit ribosomal RNA", at positions 524 to 776 of the family's 1533-position model. The record is from RNAcentral.